This 294-nucleotide long non-coding RNA is filed under the name Homo sapiens (human). Its description in RNAcentral is "HSALNT0353404". Lineage: Eukaryota; Metazoa; Chordata; Mammalia; Primates; Hominidae. The record is from RNAcentral.
CUAGCCUGGGACCCAGCCGCUGGGGUAGGGGACCAAGCCAGCUGUGCGGAGGGAAGCGCAACGGCCCAAAACACUUGGUAGAAUGCACCGGUGAAGCUAUCUGGUCCUGCGCUUUUCUUUGUGGUCAUAAGGCUCCGAUCCCUGCUGAGAGGACCCUGCUCCACACCCAGAAGGAAAGAAAGCAUGCUCACAGAGACCACAAAAAACCUAGACAGACACUGGGUUUCCCCACUCUUUUUUCUUUUUUUUUUUUUUUUUUUUGAAGUGGAGUUUCAUUCUUGUCUCCCAGGCUGG